RNAcentral lists this ribosomal RNA (759 nucleotides) under Parahaemophilus parainfluenzae. RNAcentral's name for it is "Haemophilus parainfluenzae bacterial SSU rRNA". It matches the Rfam family "Bacterial small subunit ribosomal RNA", at positions 28 to 776 of the family's 1533-position model. The record is from RNAcentral. Lineage: Bacteria; Pseudomonadati; Pseudomonadota; Gammaproteobacteria; Pasteurellales; Pasteurellaceae.
AUUGAACGCCGGCGGCAGGCUUAACACAUGCAAGUCGAACGGUAACAUAAAGAAGCUUGCUUCUUUGAUGACGAGUGGCGGACGGGUGAGUAAUGCUUGGGAAUCUGGCUUAUGGAGGGGGAUAACUACGGGAAACUGUAGCUAAUACCGCGUAGAAUCGGGAGAUGAAAGUGUGGGACCUUCGGGCCACAUGCCAUAGGAUGAGCCCAAGUGGGAUUAGGUAGUUGGUGAGGUAAAGGCUCACCAAGCCGACGAUCUCUAGCUGGUCUGAGAGGAUGACCAGCCACACUGGGACUGAGACACGGCCCAGACUCCUACGGGAGGCAGCAGUGGGGAAUAUUGCGCAAUGGGGGCAACCCUGACGCAGCCAUGCCGCGUGAAUGAAGAAGGCCUUCGGGUUGUAAAGUUCUUUCGGUAGCGAGGAAGGCAUUUAGUUUAAUAGACUAGGUGAUUGACGUUAACUACAGAAGAAGCACCGGCUAACUCCGUGCCAGCAGCCGCGGUAAUACGGAGGGUGCGAGCGUUAAUCGGAAUAACUGGGCGUAAAGGGCACGCAGGCGGUGACUUAAGUGAGGUGUGAAAGCCCCGGGCUUAACCUGGGAAUUGCAUUUCAUACUGGGUCGCUAGAGUACUUUAGGGAGGGGUAGAAUUCCACGUGUAGCGGUGAAAUGCGUAGAGAUGUGGAGGAAUACCGAAGGCGAAGGCAGCCCCUUGGGAAUGUACUGACGCUCAUGUGCGAAAGCGUGGGGAGCAAACAGG